This 562-nucleotide ribosomal RNA is filed under the name uncultured bacterium. RNAcentral describes it as "bacterial SSU rRNA". It matches the Rfam family "Bacterial small subunit ribosomal RNA", at positions 28 to 588 of the family's 1533-position model. The record is from RNAcentral.
GACGAACGCUGGCGGCGUGCCUAAUACAUGCAAGUCGAGCGAAGAAUAGGUUUCAAAUCUUCGGAUGCGAGACCUAUUACUUAGCGGCGAACGGGUGAGUAACGCGUGGGCAACCUGCCCCCUAGACCGGGAUAACAGCUCGAAAGGGCUGCUAAUACCGGAUACGCCUCAUGUGCUGCAUGGCAUAUGAGGGAAAGCGCUUUAGCGCUGGGGGAUGGGCCCGCGUCCCAUUAGCUAGUUGGUGAGGUAACGGCUCACCAAGGCGACGAUGGGUAGCCGGCCUGAGAGGGUGGACGGCCACACUGGGACUGAGACACGGCCCAGACUCCUACGGGAGGCAGCAGUAGGGAAUAUUGCGCAAUGGGGGGAACCCUGACGCAGCGACGCCGCGUGAGCGACGAAGGCCUUCGGGUCGUAAAGCUCUGUCCUAUGGGACGACGAGGACGGUACCAUAGGAGGAAGCCCCGGCUAACUACGUGCCAGCAGCCCGCGGUAAUACGUAAGGGGGCGAGCGUUGUCCGGAAUUACUGGGCGUAAAGGGUGCGUAGGCGGGAUACCCCAG